Long non-coding RNA from Trachemys scripta elegans, 417 nucleotides. RefSeq lists it as uncharacterized. Lineage: Eukaryota; Metazoa; Chordata; Testudines; Emydidae. The record is from RefSeq and is a predicted model, not a curated record. The transcript has 3 exons.
GGAGGACGCAUGCGCAUUUAUCUUUAUUCUGGUUGGGGAGCGGCAGCCCCUCCUAUGGGCGAGGAAGGAGUUUGGUGCUAGGAGGCAGCUCUGCAGAGAUCAAUGGCAAAGUCUGAGAUCUGCUUCCUGCUACUGGAGACCGCACUUAGCAUGAAAGGACAGGGAUAGAGUAAGGGUGAAUUUAGUACUUGAGGAAGGAGCCAGACUGGGAGUUCUGAAGGCUCAAGUCUCCUAUUCAUCCAGAAAACAAGCACAGCUGCCUGCCAACUCUGUAGGAGAAGGACCACUUCUAAGGGAUAUUUAGUUUCUAUGGCCAGCUUAGUCCUAACCCCUUUCCUGAGACCACCAACACAUCAAUUAGCACUGGUUGGUGAGGUGAAUUUUGUGAUGUGGGUUCCUGUCCAUUAGAAAGUGAAC